GCCAACGUAGCUCAACGGUAGAGCUCCGGUUUUGUAAACCGGGGGUUAUCGGUUCGAAUCCGAUCGUUGGCU
RNAcentral lists this transfer RNA (72 nucleotides) under Planctomycetes bacterium GWF2_41_51. RNAcentral describes it as "tRNA-Thr". It matches the Rfam family "tRNA". From Rfam's summary of the family: Transfer RNA (tRNA) molecules are approximately 80 nucleotides in length. Their secondary structure includes four short double-helical elements and three loops (D, anti-codon, and T loops). RNAcentral also lists the same sequence under 7 other names. The record is from RNAcentral. Lineage: Bacteria; Pseudomonadati; Planctomycetota.